CAGAAUAUAGCUAAACUCCAUAGCAUUUCCCUUACACUGAAAAGUUGCCCGCGCAAAUCGGGUUAUUCUGA
This 71-nucleotide transfer RNA is filed under the name Anablepsoides iridescens. RNAcentral's name for it is "tRNA-Val". It matches the Rfam family "tRNA". From Rfam's summary of the family: Transfer RNA (tRNA) molecules are approximately 80 nucleotides in length. Their secondary structure includes four short double-helical elements and three loops (D, anti-codon, and T loops). The record is from RNAcentral. Lineage: Eukaryota; Metazoa; Chordata; Actinopteri; Cyprinodontiformes; Rivulidae.